UCUAAAGUAAACAGAAAUCCCUUUGGGAAAUAAGAUUUAAGGUGAGAAGGGAGUGGGGGAUCAAACAGGGAGGUUUUUAGUUUUUAUACUUCUGCAUCUUUUAUGAGAGUAAACUUGACAAAGUAAUUUUUUAUCUUAAAAAUACAAACUAUAAAACAAUACGUACAGUAAGAUACCUAAAAAAAUACUGGCACAUAUGUGUAUACAUAAACCUAAGAUUAAAAGGACUUACACUCCUCAUGUAUUGCUUUGAUAGGGGGAAAGCCCAAGAAACAUAAGAUGCUAAUCUCAACUACAGUAAGUGUGAAUUAAGUGUAAAAAUGACUUCUUCCUGGUGAAGAGUGACUGCAGAACAGCUGUGCUAAUAAGAAGGGAGAUGAGGGGAAAGUAGGCUUGAGAACACAGACGAGGUUGGUUUUGCCCAGGAGUCAGCAGAGCAACAGGUGAGUAUGUCUGGAGGCACAGUUAGUUGGGAAACAGGAAACAGAACUCAGGAGCAGGAACGGGGGUUGGGGGGAGCACAGAAGGAUGUGCUCCAGCAAGAUCACGAGGACAAAAGAAGCCUGAGGACUGAAGCGUGGGAAACACCUCCGGUAAGAGGGUGCAGGGAGGAGCCUAAAGGUGGAGAAGGUGGUAAGGAACAAGAAAGAAAAUGAGGAGAAUGCGAUGUUCUAAGAAACCAGGGGAAGAGAGAGUUUCAGGAAGCAAGCGGUGGUAAGGCGAGCAGUGCCAAGUUCAGGAGGACCAACGGGGAAGCAGCUGUGGACCAGGCAACUAGCCAGCAAGGCCCCAGCACCGUGUCGGUUUAUUUUGCUGCCACUUGGAAUACUUCGUUCACUGGUGUAGAUU
Long non-coding RNA from Leopardus geoffroyi (Geoffroy's cat), 849 nucleotides. RefSeq lists it as uncharacterized. The record is from RefSeq and is a predicted model, not a curated record. The transcript has 2 exons. NCBI's taxonomy places the organism in Eukaryota, Metazoa, Chordata, Mammalia, Carnivora, Felidae.